AACGUAGGACACAAGCGUUAUCCGGAGUUACUGGGCGUAAAGGGCGUGUAGGCGGGAUGGUAAGUCUACUCUGAAAGCUCCUGGCUAAACUGGGAGAGGCGAGUGGAGACUGUCGUUCUAGAGUGAGGAAGAGGAAAGUGGAAUUCCGCGUGUAGUGGUGAAAUGCGUAGAGAUGCGGAGGAACACCAGUGGCGAAAGCGACUUUCUGGUCCUUAACUGACGCUGAGGCGCGAAAGCAUGGGGAGCGAACGGGAUUAGAUACCCCCGUAGUCC
RNAcentral lists this ribosomal RNA (273 nucleotides) under uncultured bacterium. RNAcentral describes it as "partial 16S ribosomal RNA". It matches the Rfam family "Bacterial small subunit ribosomal RNA", at positions 524 to 796 of the family's 1533-position model. The record is from RNAcentral.